GAUGAACGCUGGCGGCGUGCUUAACACAUGCAAGUCGAACGAUGAAGCCCAGCUUGCUGGGUGGAUUAGUGGCGAACGGGUGAGUAACACGUGAGUAACCUGCCCUUAACUCUGGGAUAAGCCUGGGAAACUGGGUCUAAUACCGGAUAGGAGCGUCCACCGCAUGGUGGGUGUUGUAAAGAUUUAUCGGUUUUGGAUGGACUCGCGGCCUAUCAGCUUGUUGGUGAGGUAAUGGCUCACCAAGGCGACGACGGGUAGCCGGCCUGAGAGGGUGACCGGCCACACUGGGACUGAGACACGGCCCAGACUCCUACGGGAGGCAGCAGUGGGGAAUAUUGCACAAUGGGCGCAAGCCUGAUGCAGCGACGCCGCGUGAGGGAUGACGGCCUUCGGGUUGUAAACAUCUUUCAGUAGGGAAGAAGCGAAAGUGACGGUACCUGCAGAAGAAGCACCGGCUAACUACGUG
RNAcentral lists this ribosomal RNA (466 nucleotides) under uncultured bacterium. Its description in RNAcentral is "partial 16S ribosomal RNA". It matches the Rfam family "Bacterial small subunit ribosomal RNA", at positions 28 to 507 of the family's 1533-position model. The record is from RNAcentral.